Suricata suricatta (meerkat) is the source of this 310-nucleotide long non-coding RNA. RefSeq lists it as uncharacterized. The transcript is spliced from 3 exons. The record is from RefSeq and is a predicted model, not a curated record. NCBI's taxonomy places the organism in Eukaryota, Metazoa, Chordata, Mammalia, Carnivora, Herpestidae.
ACAAGAUAAAGGAUCAUGUUUUUAAGCAUCUCAGAGAUUUUCUGUUAUUUCAAUUUCUCCUUAUGAGCUAAGCAGAGUCUGUGAUUACUGGUAAUAGCAAAAUUUGCCUAGAGGAUUCUAAUUUGUAUUUUAGAAGGGAUAUUGCCAUACAAGGAAUCUAUUAAACAACAUCGUGAUUCAAGUAUGGAAGAAGUGUCUAAGCAAUUCGAUAUUCAAGCCUAAUUAAUCCUAAAAGAAUGAAGUUAACAAGUAUCUACAACGGAAGGGACAAUUCUUAUUAUUGUUAAAUAAGACUUUUUCAUAAUUCAUA